CGACCGCAUGGCGUCAGACUGGCUCUCGGGCGCGGUGGAGCUCGACGUUAACGUGAUGGUGUACCCCGUCGGCGGUCACAUUGGCACAGAUAUUCCUCGCACGUUCGACGGCAAGGUUAAGAUGAUGAAGGAGGUCACAACAAGGACUUAGCUAGAGGUUAUCUGUCAGUUGUGUUCCUGUGCUCAGCGUGACGAGCAACAUUUGGUGUACCCUUUCAAUUCUCAAAUAAACUGUGUCUGAAUUCUGAUACAUGUUGUCUCGUAUGCAUAAAAGUGUUUAGGCUUUGCUAGUUUUUGUCAUGAUUUUUUUUAUAUUCUAGCAUGGGCGUUGCUAGCGCCCGGACGUCCGAUGGGAAAACUUCCCAUCGGACGCUCCGUUGGUCCAUCGCAACAUCAAGAAAUAACAACUGCAACAUAGAGGAAGAGGAGGAGGAGGAUGGCGGCGGCCAGGCCGGUGAUGGCGGCGGCCAGGCCGGUGCGGCUCACCUCUGACCGCGGGGGAGCAGCGGCCCGCGCCCCCGACACUCGAGCAGCGCCCGACGCCCUUCCAAGUGGAGCUCCUCCGACGACCGGCGCAGCUUGCCCCUGUCACACCGGAGGCAAAAGGGCUGAAGGUGAGGGAGAUAGCUCCUCAAGGAGGUUGACGUGAUCCUCUCCCAUGACCUAAAUUGAAGGAAGCAAGGAGGUGCGAUGGCGUGGGGAUGGGGUAGGAGCUUGCCAUCUAGCAGCAGGAAGCUGCCAACGGCAGCGGCGAUGGGCGCGCGGCGCGAUGCAUGGCCUCCAAGGGCCAUGAUGUGUGCAGUAGGAG
RNAcentral lists this long non-coding RNA (808 nucleotides) under Setaria italica (foxtail millet). Its description in RNAcentral is "long non-coding RNA (SITA_LNC004026)". Lineage: Eukaryota; Viridiplantae; Streptophyta; Magnoliopsida; Poales; Poaceae. The record is from RNAcentral.